This is a long non-coding RNA of Perognathus longimembris pacificus (Pacific pocket mouse), 1186 nucleotides long. RefSeq lists it as uncharacterized. The transcript is spliced from 3 exons. The record is from RefSeq and is a predicted model, not a curated record. Lineage: Eukaryota; Metazoa; Chordata; Mammalia; Rodentia; Heteromyidae.
UAUAUUUUUUAAAGCGCUAUUCCAUAUGUUACUGUAUUAUAGGAAAUAAUUAUUUUGAAAUGAUUUUUUCCUAAUCUACUUGGACCAACACAACACGUUUCCUGUAUUUAUUAUUGCAUAACUGACCUUAAUCCAGUGCUUCUUAGAGAUUACUGUUUCCUUCCUUCUGCCUUACCUCUGCAGGGUUAUUUGAAUGGCCGUUCGAGGCUCCCUUGGACUGUUGGCUUGUUUGUCUUUUGUGCUCUUUCAGGGAGCACCCAGGUUGUUUACUGUUGACUAUUUCUUCUGGAGUCUUCUUACCUUCUGCUUGCCCAAGGCCUCUUUCUGUGUUUUUACAUUACUUCCCAGGGCCUUGUUUACCCUGUACACAGCCUGCUGGCAACAGGCAUUCCUCGGUGAGUCCCGCCAGCUUACCUGAGCAAGGCGACCCCUGAGGCCCUGCCUGUGCACCUGCCCACUUGAGUCUUUGCUUGGUCACCGCUGCUGUACACGGAGGUCUUAGACCAUUGCUUUCUGCAGAAGCAGGCAUUUGCACAAGGAUCUCGCCUCUUGGUACUGCUAAGUCUCUCUGGAACGGUAGCUUCUGAGCCAGUCCUUCCACCUCAGUUUGCCCUGACAGCUGUUGACAGCCAUCCACAGCGGCCAGCUGUUCUUGGCGGACCCUGGAAGGUAGCUGGCCUUGGGCCUCUCUGCCAGACUGGGUGAAACCAGCAGGUGCUCUGGCUGCUGCCUUCUCCAGGCUUUCCUUCCAAUAGUUACAAGAACAGCAGAAGGUUGUGUCCUGUCCCUGGCUUUCAGGAUGGGAGAAGCCCAGCAUGCACUUGAGAGGUUGACCUUGCUGUCUGGGAAUAAGACCAUCUCACUUCCUAAGCACUGUGCAAAACCUCACGUCCCCACCACAUUUAGUUGUUUGGUGCUGAGGGUUGAACUCAGGGUCUCACGUAUGCUAAGCAAGGCUCUCCCACUGACUGCACCCUUAGUUCAUAGUUUACGAUGUGCUUAUCAGGGAGCAGUUGGGGUUCCCGAAGUAGCUUUGGGGGAGAUGAUGAAAUUGGAAAAACUCUCUUGAUGUGACAUAAAAGAAUAGAUCUGAUGUUCACUGUUGAAAAGUAACACUCAAAACAUCUCCCUUGAGAAAGUCAUUUGGAAUUUACCAUGUCUGGCUGCGGUCCACAUCUGCUCGCAU